GCCUACGGGGCGCAGCAGUGAGGAAUAUUGGUCAAUGGGAGGAAUCCUGAACCAGCCAUGCCGCGUGCAGGACGACGGCUCUACGAGUUGUAAACUGCUUUUGUACCGGGGUAAAAUGCCUUACGAGUAGGGUUUUGAAAGUACGGUACGAAUAAGGAUCGGCUAACUCCGUGCCAGCAGCCGCGGUAAUACGGAGGAUGCGAGCGUUAUCCGGAUUUAUUGGGUUUAAAGGGUGCGUAGGCGGAUUUUUAAGUCAGCGGUAAAAUGUCCGGGCUCAACCCGGGCCGGCCGUUGAAACUGGGGAU
RNAcentral lists this ribosomal RNA (305 nucleotides) under uncultured bacterium. RNAcentral describes it as "bacterial SSU rRNA". It matches the Rfam family "Bacterial small subunit ribosomal RNA", at positions 337 to 640 of the family's 1533-position model. The record is from RNAcentral.